AGGACGAACGCUGGCGGCGUGCUUAACACAUGCAAGUCGAGCGGAAAGGCCCUUCGGGGUACUCGAGCGGCGAACGGGUGAGUAACACGUGAGCAACCUACCCUUGGCUUUGGGAUAACCCUCGGAAACGGGGGCUAAUACCGGAUAUUCAUCACUGGGCGCAUGUUUGGUGGUGGAAAGUUUUUCGGCUGGGGAUGGGCUCGCGGCCUAUCAGCUUGUUGGUGGGGUGAUGGCCUACCAAGGCGACGACGGGUA
RNAcentral lists this ribosomal RNA (255 nucleotides) under uncultured bacterium. RNAcentral's name for it is "partial small subunit ribosomal RNA". It matches the Rfam family "Bacterial small subunit ribosomal RNA", at positions 26 to 285 of the family's 1533-position model. The record is from RNAcentral.